This is a long non-coding RNA of Diceros bicornis minor, 2383 nucleotides long. RefSeq lists it as uncharacterized. NCBI's taxonomy places the organism in Eukaryota, Metazoa, Chordata, Mammalia, Perissodactyla, Rhinocerotidae. The transcript is spliced from 3 exons. The record is from RefSeq and is a predicted model, not a curated record.
GGGCUCCGCGCGGCUGAGGCCCUGCCGGGUCGGGUGGGCUCGUGUCCGCGGACGGGAGCGGGGAGUCCUCCCCUCCCCCAGCGCCGUGCGCCCGCCGCGUCCCGGCCCGCAGGGCGGGCUCUCGGUCGGGACUCGGGAGGCGCGGCGCGGCCGGGGCGGGGCUGCGGGCGGCGGGAGGGCUGCGCCCCCCGAGCGUUCGCGGGGAGCGCGGGGCGCCUGGGAGCAGCGCGCGCAGCUCUCCGGGGAACGAAAGGGUGGUCUGGGGACGUUGUGUCCGGGGCUCGUGCUGACCCCUGUGUAGGGGGCUUUCGGAAGACCCCGUUUCCUUCGUCUGGGCUUUCGCAUCACCCUCACGACAAGCCUCCUUGUCGGUGUAAACGUGCCGUUGUGCACAGUGGAAGGCAGCUCCUGGCGGCGGCAUGGUAGACCCCAGGGCACCAGCCGGCGGGUGGGAGAGGUAGGGUGCCAAUACGAAUAGGUUUCACUCCCUGCGUCUGGCUCUGCCUCGUCUCCUCCGUGCCCCAAACCCGACGCGGCAGCCCUCGGAGCCCUUAGUAGAGUGUCCUCUCCCCCACAUUCCCGGAGGGGUGAUUGUGGAGUGCACGCGGACAGAAUCUCAGCGCGCGGGAAAUGUGUGCUGGGAUUUGUGGCUUCUCUCCAGAGCCCCUGGGUCAGACGGCGGCUCUUGACCCUGCCUCGCCGUCCAGGCCGUCUCCGUCCUCAAAGACACCGUCUGGUACCUAAUGGAGUGCUGGCCAAGAGAAAGGCAGGAAAGGGAGUCUCAGGAACACUGCCACUUGGAAGAACAGCCUUUCUGACAGACCCCUCACCGGAGCUUCAGAGCAGAGGCGGAAGGUUCCAGACGGGAGCAGGUCCAGAUUUGUUCCACCAGAAGCAGUUCUUGAUCCCUGUAUAGCAUGAAUCAGACUGGAUGAUGUCACCACGUCCAGAAGCCAUCACAGACUGUGUGACAGUGGACACUGUGGACCAGCUUGCAGAAGGUGGUAACCGGGCGUUGAGAGGGGUGGGUGACUGUCAGGCUGCCCAGGAAAAGGCAGCUCACUGGAUGGCUGGUGAGGACAUGGUGUCCGGGGAAGGUGUACCCAGCCAGUGCUGACAAAAUCCUCAACAGCACCCUGUUUCCUUCACUCUGCCCUCACUCUUCAGAUUCCGAGCUGCCCUCACACCAUGUUCAUCAGCACGUGUGGCGUCUAGAGUUAUGCCGAUGCUGCCUCUUUCCUGAACGUAGAGAAUAACGAAAUGAUAGUAGAAGAAGGGUUUUCUACACUGGGCGCCUUUGGAAGCCCAAAACUAUCAGGCCUGAAAUGAAUGGUUUUUGUAGAGUCAGCCAGGACAGAACCAAGAACUAAGCGUGGUGCUGCUGACUUACACGCGUCUGAACCUUCACAGUUCUUUACAUGCUUCCAGGAGUAGCAGAAAAUGAACAUAGCUCAGGUGAGUUCGAUUUUUGAUAACCUGUUUGUGUUACAAUGGAUUUUAUAAGGGCUUAAGUGUCUAUACGUUAACGUGGAAAAGUAGAAAUAGAAAUGGAUCAGAUGCGUUCAGAGAAGAUAUAGAAAUACAGUUGGAGAGCACAGCAAAGGUGGCGGGUGGAUAUAUGCAGGUCCUCUGACGUUACAAAUGUACUAUGUUUGGAGUUCCAAAUUUAUUUCUGAGGUUUUUGAUAGCUGUGUCAGGGUAUCCGACAUGAUAAUUCUUUAAAGGUUAACAUUGGUGAGAAGAUAAAGCAAACUGAUUCCUCAUAGGCUAUAAAGACAAUUGAAGAUAAAAAAAUAUCUUUGUUGUUUUCGAGUAGGUGAUUUAGUUAACAACUUCCAGUAAUAACCCUAAAAUAAUAUAGAGUGUUGCCUCUACUUGUUCUUCAGUAAAGGUAGAAGACGUAAUGCUGAAUGUGAACUCAGUCAAUACUAUUUUUCGGAAACUCAAACGCAGGGAUUGAAUGAGACAUUUUUCUGAUGGAUCAAAUGACUAUCCUUAAAAUUACUCUCCAUAAAUAUUUCGAGUACCCGUGAUUUUCAGGACGGUUUAAAAUCGUCAGCUCAGCAGUUUAAAAUCCUGUUAAAAUUGUCAGCUCAGCAGUUUAAAAUCCUGUUCUCUUUCAAGUGUUUCAACGCUUCCCGUCCCACUCUAAACUUGUGCAUGAGGCCUUGGUUUCUCUCCCCACUUGCCUGUGAUCUCCAGUGACCAGAGACUUGGUUAUAAUCAAAUCCAUUGGGUCUUGUCUAAUCCUUUCCUUACUUGACUUUUCUGUAGCACUUGCCUCUACUUCUCACACUGUCCUGGAAAGUUUCUCUGUUACUGUCUGUGACACCCUCCACUGGCUCUGUCCUUCUCCUGCUGAUGUCUUCACGGAGUCAUCUUC